This is a long non-coding RNA of Harpia harpyja (harpy eagle), 7341 nucleotides long. RefSeq lists it as uncharacterized. The record is from RefSeq and is a predicted model, not a curated record. NCBI's taxonomy places the organism in Eukaryota, Metazoa, Chordata, Aves, Accipitriformes, Accipitridae. The transcript is spliced from 5 exons.
GGCGGCCCGGCUGCGUGAGGGAGGCUGCGAGCAGAGGGGGUUAGGCUGGUCGGGGGACAUAAGCCAACCCCAGCGUAGAUGGGGGCCUACACGGAAUGAAAAGAGUGGAGUCGAGUGGUUUGUAACAGGCUUUCGUUCUCUGCUGGAUGGGCGAAGUUUCGCUUUGACCUGAACUCGGUUCUGGUCCCGCUCAAAUCACUGCAGCCUUUGCCUCCACCUCGCCUUCUGCCUCUCCAGUUCAUCAGAAUGCCUGCGGCAGGAUCGCCUGCCUUCUGCUCGCCCAGCCAUGCCCGUCCCCUCCUUCACCUCCCCGCCUCAUCCCUCUCUUAUCUCACGGUAACUGUGAGGCCGGCCCUUGCCUCCGAAUCCUGCACGGCCGCACGGCCGCGUCCACCCGUAACUCUUCCCACGUCAUCUGCUCCUCCCUCUGUUGCCUGAUGGAGGCUCUGACCUCCUCCUGCCCUGCACGUGCUGCCCGCCUGUUGCUACGGUUGGCAGAUCUUCCACCAGCUUCCCCCUUUGGCUUGUUUUUCCCCCCUUCAGCUUUCAUGCAGAGAUCCUGCGCAACAUCCUGAGAGGGAUUUGGGCUUCACGGGGAGCUGAUGCCAGGAGGGGAAGCCACCCGGUGGGUCUGAACCCGCUGUAAGGAUUGAGACGGACCGUUCUGCCGGCAUAAACAGAAAUCACAUUAAGCCACAAGCAGAUGCGCUAGUCCUUGCGUGUUGACGUAAUGGUAGUUGUUGUUUCACUGUCACCGGGGUUCCCACUGUCGCAGAGGUGCAGACUCCUGCGGGAACGACGCACGACCAAGCCGAAGGGGCCAAGGGCUGUCUGAAUACUUUGCAACUGGAAUGUCUUUCAUGCCGCUUGCUUUCCCAGGGUUGGCAUCCUGCACAGAUGGAAGCAAAACCGCUUUGCUGAGAAGAUCUUCUUCCGGCACGACUCUCCUUCAGCCUGUCUCCAGCACUCGGCCCAAGUAAGGAGGAACACGGGCUUGACUGUGACAGCUCCGUGCCAGGAUCGUAAGCCUCGUGCCUGCAACGAGCUCCGUGUAAGCGAGCUGUCGUGCCUGCGUAGAGAGCUGCUGGUUUCAGCCGUGCCCAGAAGUACCUGCAGGAGAAGCCCUAGGCAUCGCGUUCGGCCUUCUUGCCCUCACGUGUUGUUUUCUCUCUGGUAUUUAGUAGGGGGAAUGGAGUGAUGGGGCUUUUUUCUGCACCGGGAGGGUCAGCUGACCUCCCAGGAGGUUUUUUCGCGUGAGAAGCAGAGAACAUUCGAAAAGGCGCUACGGAAGCUGGAAGACUCGUUCGUGCGUUGGCUGUCUGCGGUUUUGCUGGUGCCCGCGCGUUAGCCCCACGCAGCUCACCCCCCUCACUCCAGGUGAUGAGCCGCAGGGGAGCACAGGUUUACCACGGGCUGAGCCCCCUGCGUCUGCGCCUGGGGUCCUGCGGUGGGGGAGGCACCCCCCAAAUCUGCCCUUCCCUCCGACGGUGCAGCAUUCACCCUGGAGCAGAGCUAGCCCGUGACUGCCACGCUGCUCACAGAAGAACGUGGUGCUUCCCAAGCAUUCAAAGAAGAGAGGAAAUUAAGCGGAUCCCAGCAUGAAGGACCAGGUGGAGCUACGGUUAACACAGAACCUGUGGCUCCAGCCAAGCCGUUGAGUCCUGUUGCAGAAACAUUCAGAGUUAUUCAGGGGGCAGUGAGCGAAGAGUAUGUGAGAAGUACUCAGGGUGUCUUUCAGUUUGAAUUAUCUGGUGAUGACGGAGGCACUUGGUACAUCGACCUGAAAACCAAGGGCGGCAGCGCCGGUUUUGGAAAGCCUCCUGUGACGGCCGAUGUGGUUAUGAGCAUGUCGAGUGCCGACUUUGUGAAAAUGUUCACAGGUAAACUAAAGCCAACCCUGGCCUUCAUGUCAGGAAAAUUAAGUGUUAAAGGUGACACAGUGCUGCUAGCAAUGAGUCUGGAAAAGAUGCUGCCACAGUUCGUUUUUGAACACUAGUGGAACAGUGGCCUUUCAUAUAUAACUAUAAUGCUCUUUUAAUGCACCAGUCCUCAAUUUUUCUUUGAUGCAGUAUAAGUAUCAAUAAAAUUUGUAAUUGUUAAAUUGCAAUGCCCAACAACGAACACACUUUUCCUUAAAACUUGCUAUAAUGAUUAAAAGAAAAAUGAUGUCCCCAAAUUCUGAUGUUUCAAGGAUAGUUUUUUUUCAUUUUCACUUUUUCCUCUGAUUGCAAACUGUCCUCUGUUACUGUGAGUUGUAGACCUAAUAGGACUUUAUUUCUUAUAAUGUUACCUUGUCUUUGAAUUAGCUGCUGUCUAAUGAGAUGUGAGUUCUGAUCCCAGGAUUAGGGGAUGCACAACAUGUCUCCAGUGUACUGUAAGAGUUGAACUCAGCACUAACUUUUCCUCUGACUGGGAGACAAAUAGCACUUUUCUCUCCUGUACUGGUUUCACAAAACUUGUAGGAACUGACCAUCUCUAUCAGAUGUUAUUAAAAAAGGCUGAUGAUCCCAAGCUGUUGGAAAACACAAUGUAUGUGCUUGUGUGCAAAGUAUGGUCACAUAAAUUUUCUUUGGGGAGUCACCUCAAAAUACAAAACAUCUUUUGAAACCUACAGAUACUAGAAAGUGUUUUUCCAGUGAGCAUACAUAUUGAUAGUACAUUUCCAAACACUGUCCUGUAACACCGUAAGAACUGAAGCAUAUCAAAGAACUCAGGUAUUGGGAGCAAGGUUGUUUAAUUUCAUACCUAUUUCAUCAUCAACACCAUGCCUUUGCAGUUUUCCCUUCUGCGCAACUUUUCUGCCAAAGCUUUUUGUUUUUCAGUAUUGCAGGGGUGGAGGGGAAAGGUGUGCAGCAUCCAAUUCAAUAUUAACUAUGGCCUGGUACCUGAAGGAAGAAUGUGCUUAUUUGCUUCCCUGCUUGCGUCUAUAGUUAAUGGUGUGUGUGUUUCUUGUGCAGUCAGUAAUACCGCUCUUGCACAAAAUGGUUGGUAGUUGUGAAUGUGAUUUGGUGAUGGACUGUGAUGCCUGUGUAAUCCUAGAGAAAGGUGUCAUCUUUAGAAGAGAAAUGCUUUUGUUGGAGAUGGAUCCAGGGCAGCACAAUGUGGCUGUGUUUCUUCUCUCUCUAGCACAUCAGUAGUGUUGUUUGCAUGAUGGAAGAGUGAGAGCUUACCAUGCUGCUCUGGGGGAUACUGACUGCUACUGGCAGCCAGAUCAGGGCUGUGCCUGACCACUGAUGCCAUUCUGUAAUUAACUGCUUAGGCCAGGGAGAGGAGGGCAGGAACUACCACAUCCCGCACUUUGAUUGGUAUAAGCAGUUAUGGAUUCACGCCCAACAGGACAAGCAAUUCAUUAGCAAGAAAAACAGAAAACUUGGACCUCUCUUUUUCAAUUAAAUAUAUUUACACUAUGCUACUUGACCCAAGAUAAGUGUGCAUCCUGGAGGCAGCAUCGUGAGUGUGUGGGUAGGUAUCCCACUGCCUUCACCUCUGAGUCCUUAGGAUAAGUGAGGUGGUGGCUGUGCCAUGGGAUGGGUGCUGUGGGACCGGGCGAUGCUGAGUGUUAGGGAUAUUUGAUCCUUGCAUUACGAACAUUUAUAUUAUGCCAUUCUUGGGGCUUCCGCUGUAAACAGAAAUAGCUGAAAAACAGUCUGCUGUGCACUGUUAGGACAAAAGCUACAACGGGUGCUGUAAUGGAAGAAUUACUGCAGGUAUUUGCAUUCUGCAGAGGAUUUUUCCAUGAGGGCAGAAAUGUGUUUCUUUUUAAUCCGUUGCUCCGUUCACAGCUUUUGAGGCCGAUAAAAAUGAAGUGACUAAACAAACUGUGACUGUUCUGCUACUGUGAGUAACUGGAGAGAAAGCUACAGGUUCUUUGGGUGACAGCUCCGGCUGAUAAUUGAAGGAAAGUGCUCUAAGACCCAUGUACAACACAGACACUAUCUGCAUGCUGCUGACAGUAAUGAACAGGACUGAUGGCUCACCGUACUGCGAAGGAAAUGUUGGUCUUUUUUUGCCUGUAAGACGUUUAUGUUAUUCAUCUAAAGCAGAAGUAAUUUUCAAUACAGAAAGAAGCUCAUUCUUUAAAUUUUGAAAUCAUUUUUGUAAGAGCUCUGUCUUCCACGCAAACGUUGAAGAAAUCAGAAGCUUUUCUGUAUUGCAGCAGUUCAUAUUCUGUCUGAUUUACACACACAGAGCGCUGUCAAGCUCAUUUGUCCUUCCACAAGAAAAAAGCGACUGAAACUGCUUCAUUUUUGUAGUAGAAGCGUAAUGAGCACUGAAAAUAAGACUUCUUGGAAUCUCUGAAGCCAUCUCAGACAAGAGGAGCCUGGAAAGGAAACUAAAUUAAAAUCCACAGGAAUUUCAUACAAAGCAGAGUUGUGUCGUGACAAUUCUGAAAACGCGCAGACUGGCUUCUCAAGGGUAUAUUUCAGGCCUCUGGUGAAGUAGCAUAGGAUUUUCAAAAGCACCUUGGGGGCUGAUCUUCAUAUGCCUUUUUUUGUGUUACUACUAAUUGUUAGCUGCAGUCUAGUAACAAAACUAACAAAGGAAGGACAGCAGAAAGUUAGUUCAGCUCCGAUAUGCUUGGGUGUGAAUGUGAAGUAGCCUGUGAUGACCACGAUGACAGGAUUUGUCUGCAGUGUUUCCUUCAGCAUCAUGCACAUGUGAAGGAAGGGUGGCUGCCAAACAUGACAGUCUGAAGUCUCGGCCAGGAGAAAACUAACAGGUACCUCUGUCAGGUUGUUAGCUGCCCCAGAUGGUGCAAGAAGAAAAUUUAGAGCUGACCCAAAGCCUGGGUGUUUUUCCUGGGCACUACCAUCUCUCUGUAGGCUUUUGUAAGCUGUUAUCUGCUUUGCAUUUCAUCAAUACACACUCUUAUUCACUUUGAUCUUAACUCUGACUUGAAGCUAGGCAUUUUGCUUUUUUUUUUUUUAAAGUUGACGGCUAACUGCAAUGCUAACAAAUCCAGUCACUGUGAGUUGGGUGGUCUUUAGUGCUGGUACUCAUUCCCUCGUGCUCCUUCAGGAUGUCCAAAGGAAAAUGCAAGUGCCCACACGUGUACCAUAGGCUGGGUUGUGGAUCUCCAAAUGGAGUCUAGGAAGGACAGAAGUCUUCUGUUAAUCAUUGAUUACUGGAAAAAGACAAAACCUUUGGAGUACAUUCUGAUGGCUGAAUCCCUGCUCUUCAGACUGUCCCACGCUGCUUUCUGCUUAGGAAACAAGCUCAGGACACUCCUUGCUGAUCACCCUUUUUAAUUCAGUCUGGUCUUUCCUACAGGACCAGAAAGACGUCUACUUGAGCACUUGCAUAAUUCUGCUCUGCCCCAGUCAGGCAGAGCAGUGUUUGCAACACCUAACCAUAGCAAUCUACUGCAGGCAGCUGGUGCCGAAGACCACUCUCCUCAAGCUUCCCUGUUCGAAUCAGGCUCCUUGUGGGCUUGAGUCCCCUGUUAUUGACCCAGAAGGGAGCAUGCCUUCCUCUGUUGUGGAUCCCUUUAGCUCUCUGCACUGGUUUCUGACCGGUGGAGCAGGGAUGUAGGGUCAGCAUUAAAGCAGCAUUACAAGUGCUGAAGUACUGUCGAGCAGGGUGCAACCAGAUGCUGUGGUGAAGGACUGGCAGAGCAGAAGGACCAUGGUCUACCAAAGGUGAAUUUGUUCUGAAAUCAUCUCCAGAAGUGACAGAAAUCUUACAGCAACAUGCAGUGCCCCUACAAGUAAUUUUUCGACUGGCAGGUAAGUGAAGGGUAAAUUAACUGGCAGUGCUUUGCUUUGAAAUACUGUAUUUAAUUGCAGAUGUUCCAGGAAUAUAGAUAUGAUGCUUCACAGACUCUGCUUUUAAGAACUUUCCUUACAUAUAGGGAAGGUGUGGGGGUGUGAGGAAGAAGUUGCCUGGUUGCUCUUCCUCUUUAAGGAUCACUCUUAAGCUAACGGGUCGUGUUGUGAUGCUGCUUUGCUAUGCUUGGUAAAUGAAUUGACCUUUCAAACAUUAAAUUUCCGAUGUUUUCUAUAGGAAGCCUAAAAAAGACCCCAACAAACAUCUUAUUCACUGCUAUAUUCUGUUCUCUUUGUUAGCAGUUUUCCAAGGAACUUCCCAAUAGCAGCAUCCCUGUCCCGUCCCGUGCUUUACUCCUUGACAGUGCCAGACAGCCAGUGUCCACAGAGGUGCUCUCAGCCCGCUUGAUGGUUUUUAUUCUGGUCCUGCCUGCACCCGUGUAGCUCUGUUACACUAUUACUGAAAACACUGGGAUACAAAGCCCUCUGCACAGGCCAUGAGAGAGGGACUCUGCCUUCUUACUCCCUCCCAGCGUCGUGGGGGAGUGUUGUAAUACCGCACCUCCACUCGUCACACCGGUUGUCUGCAAGGCAGACUACUUGUCUUCCUGUGGUUGGGGAGGAAACUGCCACCCACCUUGCUGUCCCUGACUUCCAGUCCUCAUGGCUGGGUGUCUGGAAGCUGUACCUGUCCCGCAGAUCCACCUCUUGCUCUGCCCUUCCAGAGCACUGAUGUCCCACCAGGGAACCCAACCCCCUGUCCAACCCAUCACUACUGACUUGCAGGCGCCUGUCUCUCACCGAGCCCUUUCAUCCAGAGAAGCCUGUGAGCAAAUGCUAAGUGGGUCUAACGCGUGUUUAGUCCUCUGAGAGGGGACUGCAGGAGCACUCCAGACUGACACACGGACAUUUGGGGUGGGAAGCUGGCUCCCCAGCUUUUCCGUGCUUCUAUCUUUGACUUGGCUGGAGGCAGUCCAGUGAAGAUCCAGCUGCCUGCCUGCAUGCUGGAAGGCUGCCUGAAACAGGCUCCCCUCACAGUGGUACAGAGGAGGUGGUGUGGGACACCACCAGGUUCUGCCAGGCGUUGCAGCUCUUCUGAGACCUUCUGGGACCUCCCAGGUACUACUCUUUCCAUGCUCCAGCUGACUGAUGGGGUCAAAUCUUACUUGGGUCACAGCAAAUGAAGUCUAAAAGUGAAGACAUUUCUUUUAACUCACACUGCUGUCUCAAGGGGCUGCCUUUUUCAGCAAGCUACUGGCUGUACGAGGAAUUUUUCCUGACUCAAAAGUGGUUCUAGCUUAACUUCUUGCACUGCAGGAGCUAGUUUGAUGGGGCACACGUUCCUCUGAGGAACAUACCUUUUAAAAACACAGCAGGGUAUUCCUAUUGUGAUAAGACACCGGUUCGUGAUCUGCAUUUGGCUGAUGCCAGCCAUGAUCAGCAGGCCUCGGAAGAGACAUGCCAAUGGGAACCAUUGGUGAAGUGAUGCAAAAGCCUGGUGUGGCAGUGGCCUGAUCCUGCCCCUCUUCCUGUGAUGUAGCCAGUCCUGAUUAAAACCUAUGUGUGGUCAAAAGCA